UUCCUUCAACAUUCGACCCAAUGCAAUAAGAGCUCUUGAAUUCGAUCGUUGUUGUGUCAAUCCAUCUGCCCAGAUGGAGGAUGGUUCCCCACCCUGUUAGAAAUUUGAUAAUAAAUAAGUUCAAAGAGGAGCUAAGUAGUAAAGGAGGAGAAUAAAUUACCUGGAUGAGUCAAAGCCUUCCGAUCCCCUGCAGAUGAGACCACUCGGAUGAUGAAAGAUACAAUCGGGGGAUUAUCCCUUGUUAAGCUUGAUAUUUCUGGGUAUAAUUUAACAUAUAAAAGCUUGUUUUUUUCCACUGAUAUAUGCCUUCAAUCCAAA
Molecule: non-coding RNA, 318 nt
Organism: Benincasa hispida (wax gourd)
Lineage: Eukaryota; Viridiplantae; Streptophyta; Magnoliopsida; Cucurbitales; Cucurbitaceae
Source: RefSeq, a predicted model, not a curated record